This 456-nucleotide long non-coding RNA is filed under the name Prunus persica (peach). Its description in RNAcentral is "long non-coding RNA (PPER_LNC004968)". The record is from RNAcentral. Lineage: Eukaryota; Viridiplantae; Streptophyta; Magnoliopsida; Rosales; Rosaceae.
GGAGCCCAAAUAUGCUUGUCUGACGGCCGAUCACUUAAGGGCCAACUAUCACUACUAGUCAUAAAAUUAUAACCAACUUACCUAGUACGGUAGUGAAAGUGUCCAUUUACUGGCUAGACCUCAUCGACUAAACCUCACACAAGGGUAUUGGAAAAGUCUAUCCGUGUAACCCCUCCGGAUGUUUAGGGGAUCGAAACCUAUGGAAGAUGUUAUGCCUCCUUCACCCUCAGGUCGUCGAGGAUAAUGCCUGCAUACGUAUACCCUCCAAAACUUUGAAAAUCCAAAGCCAAAUAUCCAUAAAACCAAACAAUAUGGCAUCCAAAAAUAGUGCAUCUUUUGCACACAACAAUAUUUACUUUGUCAUACAUACACACAAAAUACAAGUCCGUGACAAAGUCCCCCUACCUGGAAUCAAAUUUCAAGCCUGACUUGCCCUCUGCACCUUCGAACUCAAAC